Molecule: long non-coding RNA, 355 nt
Organism: Lagopus muta (rock ptarmigan)
Lineage: Eukaryota; Metazoa; Chordata; Aves; Galliformes; Phasianidae
Exons: 3
Source: RefSeq, a predicted model, not a curated record
GCGCACGCUAAGGGCUGGGCGAAGAACCAGACCCAGGGGGCAGCGCUGUUCCUGGGUUUCAUGCACGAAAAGAAAUCAAGCCCGGGGACUGCUGCCAGCCCUAGGGGACAAAGAUGGAAAACCAUGGUUAUGGAGGGGCACUAAGCACCUGGAGCCACCAGAGCCAAGGCCUGGGCAGGGACAAAGUGACACCAUGCAGGACAUAAGGGAGAAGAGCCCAGCAGAGGACCUAAUGCACAAGUCAUGGGAGAAAUCCAGAGCAAGAGCAGCAUCACAGCACUACACACAUCACAGACAUCUACCGGACUCAGAGACCAUCUUUGCACAGAUUCCUUCCCAGAUACAAGGAAAAAAU